GUCUACAGCCAUACCCCCCUGAAUGCACCCCAUCUCGUCUGAUCUCAGAAGCUAAGCAGCAUCAGGCCUGGUUAGUUCCUGGAUAUGAGACA
This 92-nucleotide ribosomal RNA is filed under the name Castor canadensis (American beaver). Lineage: Eukaryota; Metazoa; Chordata; Mammalia; Rodentia; Castoridae. The record is from RNAcentral.